CAUUAUAUAGGAAGCGUUGGAUGUACAAAAGAAAUACUAAUAAUAUUUCCCAAAUGCUCCCGAAAAGCUUCGGAAAACUCAAUGAAUAUUUCUAAGAAGAUUACUAAAACUGGAUCUAAAGAGUUUUUCAAGAAUUCUAGCAAUACAGGGUGUUACCAAAGUUGUGGGCUGGCUAUAUGCAGCCGGAUUUUAUGACUAAAAAUAAGAAACAAUGUUUAAAAAACAUAUCGUCGUAGUCGUAGACAGCAAAUUCGCAACACACCAGGAAUUUUUGAGCACAUGAGGAAAUACAUGAUCCUAUGAGCUCAGUAACGAAUCUCUUUAGGAGAUAUGUUUAUUUAAUCUUUUUGCUUAUGUUUCUAACACCCGCCUGUAAUCUUUUUUUAAUCCGACCCUUUAAGUGAGUAUAAAUACCGGUAGCUAAUCGGAUGUAUUGGAGCAAAUCUCGUCUGAUUGUAAUAUUGUGUGUAAGACGUCAGAGAGUCUGGCAAUUAAGUAAAGAAGUUUUAAUUAUUGGAUGUUAUCACCCGGAGUACAUCGGCCGGCUGGAAAUUCCUAUGUCCCCGUUCCGUAUUUUGGGAAUUCUAUAGAUAAAAGCUCGUAGAUACCGUCAGUUAAUUUGUGCUUCCGUUCCGAUUUGGGAAAUACGUCCCGUGUGCCGUAAUUUCUUUAUUGCCAAGGCAAAAUUACAAGUACUACAACUAUUUUACUUUAAAGGGCUCUGGAAAAAGUCCACGCAUGGUCAAGAAGCGUGGGUAUAAUUUUUCACCUCCCAAAACCACAGAGGACACAACUCUCAACAACCCAAUAUAAAUCUAAAUGGAAUCCCACUGUAAUCAGUCUACCACACAUUCUUACGAAUAACAUUCGAUAAAUGUCUUACAUGGAAACAACAGACACAGAAUACAAAAGGUGAAUGUUUCAAACGCAUAAAUAUAAUCUAGUCCUUAGCACACUAUCAUUGGGGAGCGGAAGAAGAACGCAAACAAGUAAGAAUUUACAGUUUUGGCUCAUUCGAAAUUAGACUAUGGAAGCAUACUGUAUGUCGGCCAGCCCAUCUGAACUAAAAUGCCUUAAGGCCAUGGAGGCUAAACACUAAAUUACAUCAAGUCCAAGCCAACAUCACUCCAGCCAAAAGACCACCAAUGUAAAGAAGAGACAAAAUCAUCAAGAGAAGACUUAGGAUAGAUCAUACUCGUUUUUCACAUAGAUAUCUAAUGGCUUCCGAAAAUCCCCCUGCCUGCGAUACCAGAUUAACGAUAAAGGAUGCUCUUUUACAAUGACUUUUUGAAAACAACAAACCUAUAUUGUAUUUAUAAGUAUUAUUAUUAUUAAACGUGUCGAUGGCCAUUGUUCUCUGCCAUUCGACUUUAACAUCCAAACAAAGAUUAAUAAUUAUUGAAAACGUAGUAUCUAAUUAUAACAAU
Long non-coding RNA from Photinus pyralis (common eastern firefly), 1427 nucleotides. RefSeq lists it as uncharacterized. NCBI's taxonomy places the organism in Eukaryota, Metazoa, Arthropoda, Insecta, Coleoptera, Lampyridae. The transcript has 3 exons. The record is from RefSeq and is a predicted model, not a curated record.